RNAcentral lists this ribosomal RNA (858 nucleotides) under Triticum aestivum (bread wheat). RNAcentral describes it as "partial small subunit ribosomal RNA". Lineage: Eukaryota; Viridiplantae; Streptophyta; Magnoliopsida; Poales; Poaceae. The record is from RNAcentral.
AUGGGAAGACAUAUGGACACAUGCAAGAAUUACAAGGACAAGAUUAAUAGGGAUCUCAUCCAAGCUACUCUAUUUUUUAGAAAAACCAAUGCAACAACAAGUGGUCUAGCAGUCCGGUGCAUUGAGUAUGAUAAGGACCUCAUCAAGGAGGUCAUGGCAAAGAUGAUUUACGUCCAUGAGUACUCAUUUAGAAUGGUUGAACAUAAAUGGUUCAACAUUCUCAUGAAGUGCUUGAAUCCAAACUAUCAACCCAUUGGAAGGAAGGCAAUAAGAGCUGAAUGCAUGAGGGUUUUCAAGAAAGAAAGGGAGUUGCUUCAAGUUGCCCUAAAGGAUGUGGACUUCAUUAGUCUGACAACCGAUUUGUGGACUAGCAACCAGACCAUAUCAUAUAUGUGUGUGGUUGCACACUUUAUAGAUAAGGAUUGGAAGAUGCAAACACGUGUUCUCUCAUUCAUAGAUUUGGAUCCUUCUCACUCUGGGCAUGUGAUUUCAGAUGCUAUCUAUGAGUGUGUGACUGAAUGGAAGAUAGAGAAGAAAAUUAUAUCCAUCACACUAGACAAUGCUUCAAACAAUGAUGUUGCGGUCAGAGGUUUGAAGGCAAAGUUUGCUGUUCGGAGAGGCAUAUGCUUGCUGUUUUUGUUGUACAUAUGUUCAUAUACUUGCUGUUUUUGUUGUACAUAUGUUCAUAUACUUGCUUCAAACAAUGAUGUUGCUUUGUUUAAGGCAAAUUAUAUCCAUCACACUAGACAAUGCUUCAAAUAUACGGUUAUAUGCUUGCUGUUUUGCACUACUAGGAAAAGGCCUACUAGUGGCGCACCAGUUUUGCCUACUAAUGGCGCACUACUGGUGCGCCACUAG